AUCAGGUGACUGGGCUUAUCUGGC
RNAcentral lists this non-coding RNA (24 nucleotides) under Arabidopsis thaliana (thale cress). The record is from RNAcentral. Lineage: Eukaryota; Viridiplantae; Streptophyta; Magnoliopsida; Brassicales; Brassicaceae.